RNAcentral lists this non-coding RNA (28 nucleotides) under Cricetulus griseus (Chinese hamster). The record is from RNAcentral. Lineage: Eukaryota; Metazoa; Chordata; Mammalia; Rodentia; Cricetidae.
AACUCAUUAUGUCACUGAACUACUUAGC